GCUUAGCCAUAAACUUAGAUGAUGCUAUACAGCUACAUCCGCCAGGGAACUACGAGCGCUAGCUUAAAACCCAAAGGACUUGGCGGUACCUCAGACCCAUCUAGAGGAGCCUGUUCUAGAACCGAUACUCCACGUUAAACCUCACCACUUCUUGUUAAUACCGCCUAUAUACCGCCGUCGUCAGCUUACCCUGUGAAGGACCUAUAGUAAGCAAAAAGAAUAAAAUCCAAAACGUCAGGUCGAGGUGUAGCGUACGAAGUGGGAAGAAAUGGGCUACAUUUUCUAUUACAGAAUAUACGGAAAAUACACUGAAACAUGUAUUCGAAGGUGGAUUUAGUAGUAAAAAGAAAACAUAGUGUUCUUUUGAACUCGGCUCUGAGGCGCGCACACACCGCCCGUCACUCUCCCUAACAAACACUACAACUGUAAUUAACACAUUAAUAAAUUCAAGGGGAGGCAAGUCGUAACAUGGUAAGUGUACCGGAAGGUGCACUUGGAACAAU
This 503-nucleotide ribosomal RNA is filed under the name Denticeps clupeoides (denticle herring). Its description in RNAcentral is "partial 12S ribosomal RNA". It matches the Rfam family "Bacterial small subunit ribosomal RNA", at positions 794 to 1533 of the family's 1533-position model. The record is from RNAcentral. Lineage: Eukaryota; Metazoa; Chordata; Actinopteri; Clupeiformes; Denticipitidae.